Molecule: long non-coding RNA, 438 nt
Organism: Lampris incognitus (smalleye Pacific opah)
Lineage: Eukaryota; Metazoa; Chordata; Actinopteri; Lampriformes; Lampridae
Exons: 3
Source: RefSeq, a predicted model, not a curated record
UAUAUAUUGAGUUUCUCUGGCGCUCCCUGUAUUCAAACCUGGCAUCUUUCACUUAGUACCUCCUAGUGGUGACAGUUGUCAAGUGCAUUACGCACACUACUAGUACUUUCGGCUGCUCCCGUUAGGGGUCGCCACAGCGGAAAAUCCGUUUCCAUUUCUAAAGGUUCAUCAUCGUCAGUUCCGUAACCUAUGAAGGUCGUAGGAGCACAGCUGGUUAGGUCAUUGUGUUUCAGUAGGGGGAGUAACUGGUGGUCCCUAUCUCCUCUCCAGGCAUGGCUGGCCGUUGGUUUACAGAGAAACUCAUCCGUCCUUUGACAGCUUUUGUCCAACUUCACACGAUGGCGACAGAGUUGUUCUCUAUGAAUAGGGCUGGGGCUGAGCUGACACGAUAUGACUACAACAUCUAUCUGUUGAUUUUGCCAGCAAUUUAACCCCUCC